UGAAAUUAAGAAAAUGGAGUUGCUUAAAAAUAUUACAAAAGCAAUUCAUUUGAGUAAACAUUUACCGAAUGAAGUUAUUCAAUUAAACCUACAGAAGAUGAAAAAUCUAAUGAAUGCUGAAAUGAAAAAGAUGAAAUUACUAAAAAAAA
Non-coding RNA from Parasteatoda tepidariorum (common house spider), 149 nucleotides. The record is from RefSeq and is a predicted model, not a curated record. Lineage: Eukaryota; Metazoa; Arthropoda; Arachnida; Araneae; Theridiidae.